UACGAAGGGAGCUAGCGUUGUUCGGAAUCACUGGGCGUAAAGCGCACGUAGGCGGAUGUGUCAGUCAGGGGUGAAAUCCCGGAGCUCAACUUCGGAACUGCCUUUGAUACAGCACGUCUUGAGUCCGAUAGAGGUGGGUGGAAUUCCUAGUGUAGAGGUGAAAUUCGUAGAUAUUAGGAAGAACACCGGUGGCGAAGGCGGCCCACUGGAUCGGUACUGACGCUGAGGAGCGAAAGCUAGGGGAGCAAACGGG
Molecule: ribosomal RNA, 253 nt
Filed under: uncultured bacterium
Lineage: Bacteria
Description: partial 16S ribosomal RNA
Rfam family: Bacterial small subunit ribosomal RNA
Source: RNAcentral